Molecule: ribosomal RNA, 106 nt
Filed under: Triticum dicoccoides
Lineage: Eukaryota; Viridiplantae; Streptophyta; Magnoliopsida; Poales; Poaceae
Source: RNAcentral
AAAGGCGAUCAAAGCAACACUAAUGCAUUGGAUCUCAUCAGAACUUUGAAGUUAAGCGUGCUUGGGCGAGAGUAGUACUAGGAUGGGUGACCUCGUGUUGCAUUCU